AUUGAACGCUGGCGGCAGGCCUAACACAUGCAAGUCGAGCGGAUGAAGGGAGCUUGCUCCUGGAUUCAGCGGCGGACGGGUGAGGAAUGCCUAGGAAUCUGCCUGGUAGUGGGGGAUAACGUCCGGAAACGGGCGCUAAUACCGCAUACGUCCUGAGGGAGAAAGGGGGGGAUCGUCGGACCUCACGCUAUCAGAUGAGCCUAGGUCGGAUUAGCUAGUUGGUGGGGUAAAGGCCUACCAAGGCGACGAUCCGUAACUGGUCUGAGAGGAUGAUCAGUCACACUGGAACUGAGACACGGUCCAGACUCCUACGGGAGGCAGCAGUGGGGAAUAUUGGACAAUGGGCGAAAGCCUGAUCCAGCCAUGCCGCGUGUGUGAAGAAGGUCUUCGGAUUGUAAAGCACUUUAAGUUGGGAGGAAGGGCAGUAAGUUAAUACCUUGCUGUUUUGACGUUACCAACAGAAUAAGCACCGGCUAACUUCGUG
This 484-nucleotide ribosomal RNA is filed under the name uncultured bacterium. RNAcentral's name for it is "partial 16S ribosomal RNA". It matches the Rfam family "Bacterial small subunit ribosomal RNA", at positions 30 to 507 of the family's 1533-position model. The record is from RNAcentral.